AAGAUUAUGGUUUCAGGGAUCAUUUCUAUAGGUAAUGAUGGGAGAAAUGUGUUUGAAACUGUCCAAAUUUGCUAAUCACUAUGAUGACUUUAAGAGCUUUCUUCUCAGUAUGAAGCCAGUUAGCAACUUUGUUUCAUGCAGAUGUUGUUUGCUUUUGAUGACUGUCCCACUUCUUUAUAAAGAAGUGGUAGAAGAGUGCUCAUUCAGAGUGAC
Pseudophryne corroboree (corroboree frog) is the source of this 213-nucleotide small nucleolar RNA. RefSeq annotates it as small nucleolar RNA U3. Lineage: Eukaryota; Metazoa; Chordata; Amphibia; Anura; Myobatrachidae. The record is from RefSeq and is a predicted model, not a curated record. The transcript has a single exon.